Molecule: ribosomal RNA, 429 nt
Filed under: uncultured archaeon
Lineage: Archaea
Description: bacterial SSU rRNA
Rfam family: Archaeal small subunit ribosomal RNA
Source: RNAcentral
UACCAGCUCUCCGAGUUGUAGGGAUGAUUAUUGGGCUUAAAGCGUCCGUAGCUGGCUUAGCAAGUCUCCUGUUAAAUUCAGCGACCUAAUCGUUGAGCCGCGGGAGAUACUACUAGGCUAGGAGGCGGGAGAGGUCGACGGUACUUUCGGGGUAGGGGUGAAAUCCUAUAAUCCCGGGAGGACCACCAGUGGCGAAGGCUGUCGACUAGAACGCGCUCGACGGUGAGGGACGAAAGCUGGGGGAGCGAACCGGAUUAGAUACCCGGGUAGUCCCAGCUGUAAACUAUGCGGGCUAGGUGUUGGGGUGGCUACGGGCCACUUCAGUGCCGCAGGAAAGCCAUUAAGCCCGCCGCCUGGGGAGUACGGCCGCAAGGCUGAAGCUUAAAGGAAUUGGCGGGGGAGCACCACAAGGCGUGAAGCUUGCGGUUC